UGGGGAAUAUUGCACAAUGGGCGCAAGCCUGAUGCAGCCAUGCCGCGUGUGUGAAGAAGGCCUUCGGGUUGUAAAGCACUUUCAGCGGGGAGGAAGGCGAUAAGGUUAAUAACCUUGUCGAUUGACGUUACCCGCAGAAGAAGCACCGGCUAACUCCGUGCCAGCAGCCGCGGUAAUACGGAGGGUGCAAGCGUUCAUCGGAAUUACUGGGCGUAAAGCGCACGCAGGCGGUCUGUCAAGUCGGAUGUGAAAUCCCCGGGCUCAACCUGGGAACUGCAUUCGAAACUGGCAGGCUAGAGUCUUGUAGAGGGGGGUAGAAUUCCAGGUGUAGCGGUGAAAUGCGUAGAGAUCUGGAGGAAUACCGGUGGCGAAGGCGGCCCCCUGGACAAAGACUGACGCUCAGGUGCGAAAGCGUGGGGAGCAAACAGG
RNAcentral lists this ribosomal RNA (429 nucleotides) under Chloroflexota bacterium. Its description in RNAcentral is "Chloroflexi bacterium partial 16S ribosomal RNA". It matches the Rfam family "Bacterial small subunit ribosomal RNA", at positions 355 to 776 of the family's 1533-position model. The record is from RNAcentral. Lineage: Bacteria; Bacillati; Chloroflexota.